This 237-nucleotide long non-coding RNA is filed under the name Lathyrus oleraceus (garden pea). RNAcentral's name for it is "Pisum sativum (pea) long non-coding RNA (PSAT_LNC037941)". Lineage: Eukaryota; Viridiplantae; Streptophyta; Magnoliopsida; Fabales; Fabaceae. The record is from RNAcentral.
AAUGAAAAUCAACAAAAACAGACACAAUUUCAUGCUCCAAUUCACACCAUCAAUGCAUACAUCCACUUCAAAAAUUCAUAUCUCAUUGGAAACUAAAAAGAAAUGGAUGAGACCAAAACAGGGAGGUCCUAACAUGUGUCUAGUUCAUGCAUAUCAAAUUUCAUGGCCAUACAAUACAAUAUGAGGAUUUCCCAAUCAAUCUACCAACCUAUGUCACAUGGACUUGCAAAUUUAAUC